GAGGCCUAAUGAGAUGUUAUUUAUCAGGUGAUGUUAUUGACUGGAGGUGAAAAGCUUCAGCUACCCAUUUAUAAACAUUAAGCCUCUAUUAAAGAAACAGGACAUUUUUUUCUUCAGGACUGUUACCAACUCUAAAAUGAAGGAAGGAACAGACCGGCUUACCAGUGGCCAGGCCCACCAGGGCGAGAGAGUCAACCAUGCCCGAACCACAGUGGUGUUCCGAUCUUCUCCCAUAUAUAUGACUCAGUGCUAUUCAUUUAUAUGGGGCAAAGACAGACUGAGGUCUCCUCUGGUAAGAUGGCUUUUUUUUGUGUGGACUGCUGUCUUGUAUUCUGAGCUUUUCCUGAGAUGGACUUACAAAGAGGGGGAGCCCAUGGCCCAUCUUACAGAGAGCAUCAGGACAGCACCGCUGGACCUAGCCAAAGAUCUUUGCUCCAGCAUCCUAUUCAGUCAUUUACCAGAUGCCUCCAGGAAGUCCACAAGCCCUGCAUGCGGGCAACAGCCACCUCUUUUCCACUGCAACACCUGGUAUUCAGAAGUGCACUGUUCCUGCACAUGGAGGUUCUAUUUAGCUAUGAUGGCUAACCACCUUGACAGAGCUUUAAGCAGAGCACACCCAGCUCAUGAGGAGCAGAUGUCCUUGAACAAACACUCUCUUUUUUUGCCUUUCCUCUGUCGUAGGGGUAUAGAGAGCCUAAAAUGCUUCUCAUGGUUCCUUGGCAGUACAUAAAUGUAAGUAAAUUUAAAAAAAUAAAACAAAGACUCAAACAGUGUA
Long non-coding RNA from Heteronotia binoei (common prickly gecko), 775 nucleotides. RefSeq lists it as uncharacterized. Lineage: Eukaryota; Metazoa; Chordata; Lepidosauria; Squamata; Gekkonidae. The record is from RefSeq and is a predicted model, not a curated record. The transcript is spliced from 2 exons.